RNAcentral lists this ribosomal RNA (776 nucleotides) under uncultured bacterium. RNAcentral's name for it is "bacterial SSU rRNA". It matches the Rfam family "Bacterial small subunit ribosomal RNA", at positions 711 to 1501 of the family's 1533-position model. The record is from RNAcentral.
GAUUGCGAAGGCAGCUUGCCGGGCCGCAACUGACGCUGAAGCACGAAAGUGUGGUUAUCAAACAGGAUUAGAUACCCUGGUAGUCCACACCGUAAACGAUGAAUACUCGCUGUUUGCGAUACAAUGCAAGCGGCCAAGCGAAAGCAUUAAGUAUUCCACCUGGGGAGUACGCCGGCAACGGUGAAACUCAAAGGAAUUGACGGGGGCCCGCACAAGCGGAGGAACAUGUGGUUUAAUUCGAUGAUACGCGAGGAACCUUACCCGGGCUUGAAUUGCAUCUGACGUGGCCGGAAACGGUCAUUUCUUCGGACAGAUGUGAAGGUGCUGCAUGGUUGUCGUCAGCUCGUGCCGUGAGGUGUCGGCUUAAGUGCCAUAACGAGCGCAACCCUUGUCAUCAGUUACUAGCAGGUUGAGCUGAGGACUCUGAUGAGACUGCCAUCGCAAGAUGUGAGGAAGGGAGGGAUGACGUCAAAUCAGCACGGCCCUUACGUCCGGGGCUACACACGUGUUACAAUGGGAGGUACAGCAGGCAGCUACCCGGCGACGGGAUGCCAAUCCGUAAAGCCUCUCUCAGUUCGGACUGGAGUCUGCAACCCGACUCCACGAAGCUGGAUUCGCUAGUAAUCGCGCAUCAGCCACGGCGCGGUGAAUACGUUCCCGGGCCUUGUACACACCGCCCGUCAAGCCAUGGGAGUCGUUGGUACCUGAAGUGCGUGACCGCAAGGAUCGCCCUAAGGUAAAUUCGAUGACUGGGGCUAAGUCGUAACAAGGUAACC